RNAcentral lists this transfer RNA (48 nucleotides) under Anolis uniformis. Its description in RNAcentral is "partial tRNA-Gln". The record is from RNAcentral. Lineage: Eukaryota; Metazoa; Chordata; Lepidosauria; Squamata; Anolidae.
AGAAAACCAGGACUCGAACCUGCACUUAACAACUCAAAAUUGCUCGUA